Pan troglodytes (chimpanzee) is the source of this 2474-nucleotide long non-coding RNA. RefSeq lists it as uncharacterized. The transcript has 7 exons. The record is from RefSeq and is a predicted model, not a curated record. Lineage: Eukaryota; Metazoa; Chordata; Mammalia; Primates; Hominidae.
AGUGCAACUGCCUGUGCUGAGUUUUUCAAAGCUCAGAGCAGAUUGAACUUUUGUGGUUUCAUUUUCCCUGAUUUUGAUUUUUCUCAUGUGGAACCUGUGUUGCUGCAUUCAAGGCCUCUAAUACCAGCAUUUUGGGAGGCCAAGGCAAGAGGAUCACAAGGUGAGCAGAUCAAGACCUACCUGGCCAACAGAAUGAAAACCUGUCUCUACUAAACAAAAAAACUUAGCCAGAACUUUAAGUAUGCACUUUCAGUACCAGAAUGAAUGCAUCUUUGUGAAGAUACCAUUUAUGUACCAUAACAUCCAAAGCAUAAUGAGGAGAUUUUGAUACGCUGAAGAUUUAGAACUGAGUUGGAAAACAAAACUUCAACAUACUGUCUUGUCAGCACAAAGCAAAUAAAUUCAUCACUGUUCUGUGCAGUACUGAAGAGCAACUUCAGCUCUUGAGUUACAGCUCAAUGCAACCUCCUGGCAGGCCAGCCUUAAGCCCAGCAGUCCAACCAUGCAUCUAAGCUGAGUUCUCGUCAGAGCCAACUUCAAUUAUAAACAACUGAGAUGAUGCCAGAGGCCAGAAUCCCUGAGAACCCAAUUUGCUGUCAUCACGAUGGCUGAAACAAGGUGACCUUCAUAAUGCAGGCAAUAGAGAAUUGCAAGAUUUGUCAGAGAUUUCAGGUCUUUGGAAAGCUAUGCUCUUUCACAAGAACAGCCAUGGAAACAGGAAGAAAGUCAAUUCCCACUUAAGCUUGUAUCAACUCUAGAAUUUAUUGGGCACCUCCUAGGACAUAAACACUGGAAUUUGGUGAGAGACGUCAAAUAGGAAAGAACCUGGCUCUGACAUAAAUUCAACACACGGAGGGGGACACAUGUUAUGAGACUGAUCUGGCCUCUUCAUCUCAUAAAAGGGGUUCUUGUUGCUGGUAACACAGAUUAAAACUAUUUCAAUUACAUUCAAGAUAAAAAGAUGAGCAAUGGUAUGUAAGAUGAAAAAAUCACCCCGCAGGAAGACAAAAGUCUCACAAAAGGAUAUUUAAGCUAGCCAACACUUUGAAAUUCAGGCAGAGAUCGUGCUUUCUGGGUGAACUAAAGUAGCAAGAACAAAGUAGAGGCUCCAAUUCUAGGAAAAAUGGGCCCUAAUAAGGUUUACAAUCCAGAAACUCAAGAUAUCCAGACAGAAGGAUGCAGUCUCCGCUUUCAAGGCAGCAGCAGUACCUGGAUUACUAAGCCAAUCCCCAACACAAUCAUAAACACAAAUUUGAUUGAGGAAGAAGCUUGCCCACCAGAAGAUUUAGGUUAUUACAAGGUAGAAUGUGAUAGAGAAAAUGAGCAUGGGACUGGAAACAAAAGGAGGUAGCCCCAUGAUUACAACUGGAAUAUAUCUGUCAGCGAUGGUGCGGAAAUAAGACUGAAGAGAGAGAUCCUUAAACCCCACGUGGCUUACAUCAGGACUAAUCCUGGACACAGGCUGGAAAGCAUAGCCUACAGGUGGUGAGGGAGGAGGAGUGGGCUUAGCUGUGAGGAGGAGAAGGAAAUAUGGCUGAAAACCAGAUAGGGGUCUUGAAAUCACACAGAGGAUUUGGGCCUUUGCUGCUGUCUGCCAGCAGCUGCCAGUAGUUCUCACACUUUGGCUGGCAACAAAAUCACCUGGGGCAGUGGUGCGGAAGCGGGGGGAGUGUUGUAAAACCACAAGUGACCAGGCAAAAAACACCUGUAUGUUUUCCAAUUCAGUAAGUACAGAAAUAUUAAUUGGAAAAAGGUGGACGUCAGACAUUGAUAGUGCUGUGGACUGCUCCAGGGACAUAAGCAUGAUCUUUAGAGAGGCGACUCUAAUCAGUUGAGGGCAACCACUGGACAGAAAGAGGUCCAGACCAACCGUGCACAGAGACAUCAUACAACUACACUUUAGCAACCUCUCCAAGUAACAUGUCUCUUAGUGAAACUUGGGAGGGUGAAAGUUAAAAACAUAAAAUCCAGUGGCAUUUAUGUAUCCUAGGCACUUACAUUUGUCUGAUUCUUCCAACUUGCCUUUGCUUGGUUAGAGUUUUGGGUAGAUAAGAGGUGGAUUUACAUGUGCUAGUGUGAGAACUUUGAUACACUCAUUUAGACAUUGACCUACUAUCUUGAUGUUUGAAAGCUAAAACCCAAAGAAAUUUGUCUUUUUACGUAAAACAAAUUCAGCCCUUGCCUUCCUUGUAGAUUACAUCUUCCACUAGCAGUAAUAAAAAAGUAACAAUAUGCAUAAGUCAAAGUGUCUUCUUAGAUUCUCUGUAGUGUUUUAUUAUUUAGUUGUGUUAAUUAAAGUAACUGUCUCAAAAUUUCAAGGAAUGCCAGAGAAGCAAUUCCUGUUCAAAGGCUGCCCUCUUGUGACAAUGUGUUGUAUGCUUUACUGUAAAGUAACCUUAUUUUACCUUAUAACCUCUACAAUCCAAUUCAUAACAGCAUAAAAAGGAAAAAAACCUUACAUAAUUUUGAAUUUU